AAAGAAGAAGAAAGAAAACC
This 20-nucleotide small RNA is filed under the name Arabidopsis thaliana (thale cress). Its description in RNAcentral is "ATSL009050". The record is from RNAcentral. Lineage: Eukaryota; Viridiplantae; Streptophyta; Magnoliopsida; Brassicales; Brassicaceae.